CAAGAGCUCGCGUCGGCGAAACGACGCGCGGACAUCGCGACGAACGCGGUGAAGCAGGCGAACAUCAUGACCGCGCUGUUGCGGCAGCAGAAAGAAGAGAUCGCGCGCCAGAAGGCGCUCCUACUGGUGAGGACGUCGAGCGCGAAAACACGCGCACUUUUUUUAAAAAACCCGCUCUCAGGCGCUCGCUCACGUCUCCGCCCCCGCGUCGCGCGACCCUACGCCUCGGCGAAGCUUCACGAGGCGAACGACGAGGUCACGAAGCUCAGGAUCCAGGUCAACGCGACGAAGAGCCUGAAAGAGCUGCAGCAGACGCUCGAGGCGCCGACGCUGCGGAACUUGCGGAUGCACAAGGCGCAGCCGUCUCCCGCGGCGGCGGCGGCGGCGGCGGUCGCGGACCCCGCGAUCGAUCUGCGCUCGCCGCUCUCCCCCCAACGCGCGCCGACCGCCGCCGCGCCGCCGUCGCCGUACGACUUCACCGGGUUCUCGCCCGCGGCGGAGGACCCGGACGACGAGCACUGGGAAGACGCGCCGACGGAGCUGGACGACGCGCCGUCGCGGUCGCCGUCGCCUUCGCCUUCGCCGCCUUCACCGCCGCCGCCGCCGCCGCCGCCGCGCGACACCCCCGUCGCCGCGAACCCCGUGCCGAGCGCCGCGGCGAACUUCCGCGGGUUCGCCGCGACCGGCCUCGACUCCGCGACGCGCGCGACGCGAGGACGCACGC
RNAcentral lists this long non-coding RNA (724 nucleotides) under Micromonas pusilla. RNAcentral's name for it is "long non-coding RNA (MPUS_LNC000135)". Lineage: Eukaryota; Viridiplantae; Chlorophyta; Mamiellophyceae; Mamiellales; Mamiellaceae. The record is from RNAcentral.